This 79-nucleotide transfer RNA is filed under the name Spirochaetota bacterium. RNAcentral describes it as "Spirochaetes bacterium tRNA-Pro". It matches the Rfam family "tRNA". From Rfam's summary of the family: Transfer RNA (tRNA) molecules are approximately 80 nucleotides in length. Their secondary structure includes four short double-helical elements and three loops (D, anti-codon, and T loops). The record is from RNAcentral. Lineage: Bacteria; Pseudomonadati; Spirochaetota.
CAGGAUAUAGCGUAAUCUGGCUCAUCGCGCUCGCUUUGGAAGCGAGCGAUUGCUGGUUCAAAUCCAGCUAUCCUGACCA